GACAAAAGCCGGGAUAGCUCAGUUGGUAGAGCAGAGGACUGAAAAU
RNAcentral lists this transfer RNA (46 nucleotides) under Sphagnum miyabeanum. RNAcentral's name for it is "partial tRNA-Phe". The record is from RNAcentral. Lineage: Eukaryota; Viridiplantae; Streptophyta; Sphagnopsida; Sphagnales; Sphagnaceae.